UGGGGAAUUUUGGACAAUGGGGGAAACCCUGAUCCAGCCAUCCCGCGUGUGCGAUGAAGGCCUUCGGGUUGUAAAGCACUUUUGGCAGGAAAGAAACGUCAUGGGUUAAUACCCCGUGAAACUGACGGUACCUGCAGAAUAAGCACCGGCUAACUACGUGCCAGCAGCCGCGGUAAUACGUAGGGUGCAAGCGUUAAUCGGAAUUACUGGGCGUAAAGCGUGCGCAGGCGGUUCGGAAAGAAAGAUGUGAAAUCCCAGAGCUCAACUUUGGAACUGCAUUUUUAACUACCGGGCUAGAGUGUGUCAGAGGGAGGUGGAAUUCCGCGUGUAGCAGUGAAAUGCGUAGAUAUGCGGAGGAACACCGAUGGAGGAGGCAGCCUCCUGGGAUAACACUGACGCUCAUGCACGAAAGCGUGGGGAGCAAACAGG
This 429-nucleotide ribosomal RNA is filed under the name Acidobacteriota bacterium. RNAcentral's name for it is "Acidobacteria bacterium partial 16S ribosomal RNA". It matches the Rfam family "Bacterial small subunit ribosomal RNA", at positions 355 to 776 of the family's 1533-position model. Lineage: Bacteria; Pseudomonadati; Acidobacteriota. The record is from RNAcentral.